This 198-nucleotide ribosomal RNA is filed under the name uncultured bacterium. RNAcentral's name for it is "partial 16S ribosomal RNA". It matches the Rfam family "Bacterial small subunit ribosomal RNA", at positions 328 to 539 of the family's 1533-position model. The record is from RNAcentral.
ACGCUCGACACCUACGGGAGGCAGCAGUGGGGAAUAUUGCACAAUGGGGGAAACCCUGAUGCAGCGACGCCGCGUGAGCGAAGAAGUAUUUCGGUAUGUAAAGCUCUAUCAGCAGGGAAGAAAGUGACGGUACCUGACUAAGAAGCACCGGCUAAAUACGUGUCAGCAGCCGCGGUAAUCUGAGCGGGCUGGCAAGGC